GUGCCAGCCGCCGCGGUAAUACCGGCAGCCCGAGUGAUGGCCGAUAUUAUUGGGCCUAAAGCGUUCGUAGCCGGCCAGACAAGUCUGUUGGGAAAUCCACGCGCUCAACGCGUGGGCGUCCAGCGGAAACUGUCUGGCUUGGGGCCGGAGGACUCGAGGGGUACGUCCGGGGUAGGAGUGAAAUCCUGUAAUCCUGGACGGACCGCCGGUGGCGAAAGCGCCUCGGGAAGACGGAUCCGACAGUGAGGGACGAAAGCCAGGGUCUCCAACCGGAUUAGAUACCCCAGUAGUCC
This 293-nucleotide ribosomal RNA is filed under the name uncultured bacterium. RNAcentral's name for it is "partial 16S ribosomal RNA". It matches the Rfam family "Archaeal small subunit ribosomal RNA", at positions 455 to 747 of the family's 1478-position model. The record is from RNAcentral.